CUACGGGAUGCAGCAGUGGGGAAUAUUGCACAAUGGGCGCAAGCCUGAUGCAGCCAUGCCGCGUGUAUGAAGAAGGCCUUCGGGUUGUAAAGUACUUUCAGCGGGGAGGAAGGGAGUAAAGUUAAUACCUUUGCUCAUUGACGUUACCCGCAGAAGAAGCACCGGCUAACUCCGUGCCAGCAGCCGCGGCAAUACGGAGGGUGCAAGCGUUAAUCGGAAUUACUGGGCGUAAAGCGCACGCAGGCGGUUUGUUAAGUCAGAUGUGAAAUCCCCGGGCUCAACCUGGGAACCGCAUCUGAUACUGGCAAGCUUGAGUCUCGUAGAGGGGGGUAGAAUUCCAGGCGUAGCGGUGAAAUGCGUGGAGAUCUGGAGGAAUACCGGUGGCGAAGGCGGCCCCCUGGACGAAGACUGACGCUCAGGUGCGAAAGCGUGGGGAGCAAACAGGAUUAGAUACCCGGGUAGUC
Molecule: ribosomal RNA, 464 nt
Filed under: uncultured bacterium
Lineage: Bacteria
Description: partial 16S ribosomal RNA
Rfam family: Bacterial small subunit ribosomal RNA
Source: RNAcentral